Molecule: ribosomal RNA, 173 nt
Filed under: Ryukyupercis gushikeni
Lineage: Eukaryota; Metazoa; Chordata; Actinopteri; Uranoscopiformes; Pinguipedidae
Description: partial 12S rRNA
Source: RNAcentral
CACCGCGGUUAUACGGGUGUGCCCAAGUUGAUAGCUCUCGGCGUAAAGUGUGGUUAAAGGCCCCAUUAAACUAAAGCCAAAUACCCUUAAAGCUGUCAUAAGCCCACAAGGAAAAGAAGCCCAACUACGAAAGUGGCUUUAACCCUGCCCUUGAAUCCACGAAAGCUAAGGCA